GAUGAAGAACGCAGCGAAAUGCGAUACUUGGUGUGAAUUGCAGAAUCCCGUGAACCAUCGAGUCUUUGAACGCACGUUGCGCCCGAAGCCAUUAGGCCGAGGGCACGCCUGCCUGGGUGUCACACGUCGUUGCCCCCCCAUCUACUCCUUCGGGAUUGCGGGGGGCGGAUGAUGGCCUCCCGUGCGCCUCGUCGCGCGGUUGGCAUAAAUGCCAAGUCCUCGGCGCCGCACGCCACGACAAUCGGUGGUUGCGAAACCUCGGUUGCCCGUCGUGUGCGGUCGUCGCGCAUCGAGGGCUCGAAAAAAUUGCCGGGCUCCGGCUCGGCUUUCAACGCGACCCCAGGUCAGGCGGGGUUACCCGCUGAAUUUAAGCAUAUCAAUAAGCGGAGGA
Molecule: unclassified non-coding RNA, 391 nt
Filed under: soil metagenome
Description: partial contains 5.8S ribosomal RNA, internal transcribed spacer 2, and large subunit ribosomal RNA
Rfam family: 5.8S ribosomal RNA (bases 1-122)
Source: RNAcentral